GUGCUCACUUCGGCAGCACAUAUACUAAAAUUGGAAUAAGAAGAUUAGCAUGGCCCCUGUGCAAGAAUGGCACACAAAUUUGUGAAGUGCACCAUAUUUUU
This is a small nuclear RNA of Cercocebus atys (sooty mangabey), 101 nucleotides long. The record is from Ensembl. NCBI's taxonomy places the organism in Eukaryota, Metazoa, Chordata, Mammalia, Primates, Cercopithecidae.